This 442-nucleotide ribosomal RNA is filed under the name uncultured bacterium. Its description in RNAcentral is "bacterial SSU rRNA". It matches the Rfam family "Bacterial small subunit ribosomal RNA", at positions 954 to 1392 of the family's 1533-position model. The record is from RNAcentral.
GCAGAACGCGAAGAACCUUACCAAGACUUGACAUGCCCUCUAUGGAUUCCCGAAAAGGAAUCCUUCACUUCGGGUGGGAGGUGCACAGGUGCUGCAUGGCUGUCGUCAGCUCGUGUCGUGAGAUGUUGGGUUAAGUCCCGCAACGAGCGCAACCCUCAUUCUCUGUUGCUAACAGGUUAAGCUGAGCACUCUGAGAAAACUACCGGUGAUAAGCCGGAGGAAGGUGGGGAUGACGUCAAGUCCUCAUGGCCCUUACGUCUUGGGCUACACACGUGUUACAAUGGCGGUGACAAUGGGCUGCAAACUCGCGAGAGUAAGCUAAUCCCUAAAAGCCGCCUCAGUUCGGAUCGUACUCUGCAACUCGAGUACGUGAAGUUGGAAUCGCUAGUAAUCGUAGAUCAGAAAGCUACGGUGAAUACGUUCCCGGGUCUUGUACACACCG